This 497-nucleotide ribosomal RNA is filed under the name uncultured bacterium. Its description in RNAcentral is "partial 16S ribosomal RNA". It matches the Rfam family "Bacterial small subunit ribosomal RNA", at positions 28 to 507 of the family's 1533-position model. The record is from RNAcentral.
GAUGAACGCUGGCGGCGUGCCUAAUACAUGCAAGUCGAGCGAACAGACGAGGAGCUUGCUCCUCUGACGUUAGCGGCGGACGGGUGAGUAACACGUGGAUAACCUACCUAUAAGACUGGGAUAACUUCGGGAAACCGGAGCUAAUACCGGAUAAUAUAUUGAACCGCAUGGUUCAAUAGUGAAAGACGGUUUUGCUGUCACUUAUAGAUGGAUCCGCGCCGCAUUAGCUAGUUGGUAAGGUAACGGCUUACCAAGGCAACGAUGCGUAGCCGACCUGAGAGGGUGAUCGGCCACACUGGAACUGAGACACGGUCCAGACUCCUACGGGAGGCAGCAGUAGGGAAUCUUCCGCAAUGGGCGAAAGCCUGACGGAGCAACGCCGCGUGAGUGAUGAAGGUCUUGGGAUCGUAAAACUCUGUUAUUAGGGAAGAACAAAUGUGUAAGUAACUAUGCACGUCUUGACGGUACCUAAUCAGAAAGCCACGGCUAACUACGUG